UCCUCCGCCACCUCCUUGCCGUCUCGCAUCCACCGCAUCGCCCCCUAUACACCUCACCUCCGCCGCCAUCGCCGGCUUGACCUGGUGCUGCCUCCUGUACGCCCUCCAUCCGUCGCUGCCCUCCCGUCCCGCCGCCGCCUCCUCUACGCCUCACCUCCACCGCCUCCCGUCCCGCCUCCGCCGUGCCGUCUCGCCUCCGACGGGUGCCGCCCCCUCCACUCCCCACCUCCGUCGUCGCCCGUCUACCAGCCGCCGCCUCAACCGGGUGCCUUCGCCUACUCUACGACAUCCCUCCGUCGCGCCCUUCUGUCUACGCCAGGUGCUCUGCCGCCUCCACGCCGGGUAUAUAGUUUUUUCCCUGUCUGAUUGCUGAUUACAUAAGUUUUUAAUUCGUGGAUAUCUGAUUGCUGAUUGGUGGAAACAACAACAUUUUACAAAUAUGUGGCAAUUAGUCGCUGGGUCCAUUUCCAGGUUGCUGAUAAAGUGAUUUGAAGUUUUAAACAAAGCAGACUAAAUUGCGUAUUUGAGAAAGAAGGCUGGUGACAAAUGAAUGUACCUAUAGUAAGGCUGAGGUACUAACUGUUGUAAAUUCAGCUAAUAUUAGUUACAGUAUUUAGGUUACAUUGUGUGACACAGAUAGGAAACUAUGAAAACAGUAUUUAGGUUACAAUAUAGUUCAGCUUUUGGUUAAUAUAUAGUCAGAAAUAAGUUGAACUCCUGUUCUUGUCAAUUAAAAUUGGAGUCAACAGACUAUUGGAGUCAACAGACUACAAGUUAAAUAGGAAUGGUAACAUCAUCCAUAGAUUCAAGUAGAGGAAUUUCACAUUUUUACCCAUUGAAAUGCUCCUUUAUUAAAUUUAUAUAUCAGAAAAGAAAUUCCAGUCUAUUAGUUUGGAUGGUCUGGGUAUCUGUAUUCCAUGACAAGUACGAGGGAUCUCCAAGAGUCCUGAAAAAGAAUCAAGGAUGAUUUUAUUAAUGCAACAUUUAGAAUUUAGAAUUUACAACGUUAGCUAAAGUCACGAAGUGUUUCAAUUACAUAAUCUGGUAAAAUUGCAUUGAAGUAACAGAAUAGCAGGCUCCCCGUGAAGGGGUCAUGUGAGAGGGAGGUAAGCCUCAAAACAUGCAUGUGAGUCGUUGUGCAGUACCAUAUACUAGCUAGCACAUUAUGCCAUCAUGACAACAACAACAUGGCAUACCGUGGCUUAAUGGAAAUGCAUAGGCCUCCUAUAGUCAGGCAUGCAACACCGAUGAAGUUAUUUUUGCCUCAAAUCCAAGAGGUUGUUGAAAGGACCAAAGCUGUUGACAAUACAAAACUAUCUACUGCAGGAGAAGUUGCAGAAACAAACACACAUUCCAUCUAAGAAAUUGUUUUUAUGCCUAUGAAUUAAUGAGCAGUGGUAACAGCUUAACAAUUGAGUGCAGCAGAGUUAAUUUUCAUCUAUUUGUGUAUUAUAAUCAAGCUAUUGUAUUGUAUGAUGGUGUUUUCUGUUUGUUGACUAGAUUGUUAGAGAAGAAAUAACAUAUAGUACUAUUAAUAUGUAGUCUGAUUUGAUCAUUCAGAUGGCAUUUUCUUUAUGUAAUGUAAUUGAACUCCUCUACUAGGUGUUUUUCUUUUUGUUGCCUAAAUGGUUAGAGAAGAAAUAUGAUAGAGUACUACUAAUAUCUAGGCUGAAUUGAUCAUUUAGAUGGCACUCCAAAACUCUCCCAUAACUUCUUUAGAAUAUGUAAGACUGUAAUUGCUUUAGUUUAGUUAGAUUAGCUGUAAUUACUACACCUGGAUGUAACCCCAUGCAAAUAUUAUACAUAGAGAAGUUAAACCAUCCCAUUAAUGUCACUAUCUUCAAGAUAUAUCAUAUAUGACUCAUUUUCAUUAGCUUACCUCAUUGUUCUCAUUUGCAUUGAGAUGGAUGGUGUCUUCUGCUGAAGUGACAAAAUCUGGAGUUGCAAUGCCAACAUCAAGUGGGUUCAUGCCUUUGUUGUCCAUCACAAGUGAUCGAUCUAAUGAAUCUGAUUUGGACAGCAACGCAUGAAGUUUGCUAUUGUGUACCCAAAUUUCUACACAUUUUAAACUGAAAGUAAUGAUUGGCUGCUAAAGUUUGCAUUUGGAGAUAAUCAAACUUAAAUUGAUUGUGCUGAAAUCUUAUAAUUUAAAUUGAUUCUAUCCUCUCAGACCAUUUUACUAACGGCCUGUUUAAUAUCAUUUUAUUUUCCAUCUGACAGGGAGUCUCCUAUUGCUUGCUAAAAGCACGUGAGCUGUCUUCCUCUCGGCCAACCGUCCCCAAUCUCAACUUAAAAGGUAUGUAUCUCCUUCAGUUGGACAUAUAUAGUUCAUAUUUCACUUGCAUGUAAUGUAUAAUCCAUUACUAUGUUUCAUUGAAUUGCAAUCUGCAAAUGAUAGGCAAGAGUGGAUCUGGUACUGUCUGAUUUACUGAGAUGACUCAAUAAUUACUCAGUCUCUAGAAAGUUAUUUUUUUUCCUAUUGCUGUGCUAUUUCCUGAAAGUUUCAUACUAUACAUUUAUGCUUUUUUUCAAUGAUCCCAUAGAAAUGCUUGAUCUGGUUUGUCCAUUCGGGAUUUUAAGUCCAUGCUGAAUUUUAAAGUUCCACCCAUGACUUUACUAAUUUAUUUUCACAUUGCAUUCAUUUAUUUACUUGAACUGAUUGUAUGAAAUGACUUUAAAGAAAGGUCGUUAUGAUUGUUUAGAUGCAUACUGUGUUCAACUGAUAAUUUGCCUGAAGGGAAUUAAAUGAGCAAGGCUUACUCAAUUUUGAAAAAAAAGUUUAUUGUGCUGAAAUCUUAUAAUCUAAAAUGAUUCUAUCCUCUCAGUCCAUUUUACUAACAGCCUGUUUAAUACCAUUUUCUUUCCUGCCCUGAAAUCAACAGAAACCAGCAAAAUGAUAGGUACACAGUUGAAAUUGCUAAUGCCGGAACAAUAUUCUUGAUCUGACAAAUUUGAAAUGAUAGCAGCUUUAAUACAGUAAAAGAAAGAUAUGUGAACUUCAUUGCCAAAGUUUGUAAUUAAAAAAUAAAACUCUCAUUCAUUUAUGGCCCUUAAAUUAUUUUAGGAUUUCUUGAGAUAUCAGCUGCAAUCAGCUAAACAGAAGAUUUUUUCUUAUUUUCUAGACCAGGGUGUCUUGAGUAGGUCUUUUGUAUAUCACUUUCACGUCACAGAAAUAGUUUCUUCCUGUUUGUGUUCCUACUGAGUGAACAACACAUCCACAGUUUAUACUGAUACUUUUUGUGUGAAGGAUAAGCUUACGCUAAUAAUUUUUGUAUAUUUUCUGGGUGAUGAUUCCAAAUGGAUACAAUUAAGAAUGUUAAAAAGUGGUUUUUUUGCCAGACAAAGAUCGGGCCAUCGUGGAUAACUACUAAAUUUGUAAGCACAUAAGAACUUAGACGGAUAACACCAGACAAAUCUUACAACAUCAUUCCUACAUCUAUACCUACAUCGUGGAUAAAACCAGACAAAUCUUACAACAUUAUUCCUACAUCUAUACCGGAAUAUGUAAAGUACAUAAGAACUUAGACGGUUUCUGCAUAUACAAGUUGUGAUAUCAUUUUACGCAUGUGUCUUUGUAAUCGGUACCAAUACAACAGCACAUUGUAUAGAUCCUUCUUGUGUGAAUUUAAACUAGCCUUAUUAUAUCUUUAAUCAUCAUCCUUUGGUUAUUUGCUUCAAUUUACUAAAUGACACCGUAGCAUUAGCACGGGCAUGUGACUAGUCUAUCCUAUAGUGCACCAACUCAUUUUACUCAUACUCAUGUGACACGUCCAACGGUCUGGAUCAAUCUACGCUAGAUCGGACGGCCCAGAUCAGUACGCUUCCUCCCUCCCAUCAUCCCGCGUGCGGCCUCCCCUCCACCUGCCUCCUCUACGCCGGCUCCCUCCGCUCGAACGCCUCCCAAACCCUAGCCCCCGCGCCACUCCCUUCUCGGUCGCCCUUCGGCCGCCGCCCCACUAUCGCCCNNNNNNNNNNNNNNNNNNNNNNNNNNNNNNNNNNNNNNNNNNNNNNNNNNNNNNNNNNNNNNNNNNNNNNNNNNNNNNNNNNNNNNNNNNNNNNNNNNNNNNNNNNNNNNNNNNNNNNNNNNNNNNNNNNNNNNNNNNNNNNNNNNNNNNNNNNNNNNNNNNNNNNNNNNNNNNNNNNNNNNNNNNNNNNNNNNNNNNNNNNNNNNNNNNNNNNNNNNNNNNNNNNNNNNNNNNNNNNNNNNNNNNNNNNNNNNNNNNNNNNNNNNNNNNNNNNNNNNNNNNNNNNNNNNNNNNNNNNNNNNNNNNNNNNNNNNNNNNNNCCCCUGCCCCCCGCUGGCGGCCCUACCGUCCCUCCAUCACCGCCUCCAUCGACCUCCGGCGCACUUCGUCGACCCCGCCGAGCUCACCGGCUACGCCGGUUCCGCCGAGCCAGACGCUGCCUCCUUCAUCUCCUCCAUUCACUGAGUGCGUCGACUCCAGCGUCGCGCUCGUCGAUCCCGCCGCCGCCGACUUCUCCGAAUCUGGUUAUUCCGCCGCCGCCCCCAUCCCUGCCUCCUUCGCCGGCACCUGUAAGCCCUGGUCAGUGAACGCCUCUAUGCCGGCCUGCAAUUUUGAGUUUUAAAUUAGACAUGGAUUCUUAUGUGAUGCUUCUUACCAUCUGACAAACAGCAAAGAAUUCUAAAUAAUUAACUGCAGAGAAAACAUGAUGUCAACAACUCAGAAAUGUAUUUGUCAUCUUUUCGAACAAGCUUUCAUGUUCUUGAAUGCCCUAUAUUUGACAUUUCUAAAUUUGCACAUAUAUUAGUUUUAACCAGAAAAUGUCUCUAUCCAUGUCUUGACGGAACAAUGAUGGAAUAGACUAACUCAGAGUUAUUUCAUCAGUUGGAGCAAAUUCACAUGUGGAUAUGAACAUUUUUCAGUAUAAGGACAUCAAUAAGCUAAAGGAACAAUGAUGGAUGAAUUUUAACUGCUGUUAAUCAACUACUAAAGUGGAACUGAAGUGCAGAACCUGAAAUUUCUUUUGGCUAAACUUGGUGAUGAACUGAUGACUGAUCAUACAAUUUUAUUAGAUCAUGACGUGAUGUGAAUCAUGUGAUAUUUCCAUCUGUUGCUAAAGCCAUUUUCAUUUAGCUCACUGCAACUUGCUUAAAUUUGUUUUCCAUAUAUUUCCCCACCUCCGUCACAGCACUGCUAUAUUUAUGGACAGUCAAAUAUAACAUUGGUUAAAGCCCCUUUUCUACUCAUAAUUGUUGCUUUUAAACUUGCCGGACUGAUAAAUGCCCUUUGAAAACUAAUCCUUGUCUUCUUCUUGCCUGAAGGGAAUUAAAUGAGCAAGGCUUACUCAAUUUUGAACUGCACUAAACUUUUUCAGUUUUCCAUAGAAUGAUAAGGGUAUGUUACUUUAUUGAUGACUAUGAUAUAACAUGGUAUUUGAGCCACUUUUGAUUCUAUCUGUUUUCUGCACAAAUGUUGGUAUGUUCUGCACAAAUGUUGAUCUAUUUUCCUCGUUAAUUUCCUCAUCACGUCUGAGUUAAAAAGAUAGGUAACAUUCACAUUAAGAAGUCUUUGACAGUCACUAGGCAGCAGUAUGGUGGUUUUGUUUGGAGAAACAUCAAGCAUUAUAUAACUCAGCCAACCUGUAUGGUUUCAUUUCAUAUCUGUUUUCUAAUUGCUGCAAUUUCUAACAUAUACACAGUACCAUUAGACUUAUUGAUUCUGAUAUAACAGGUAUACAAUGAAAUGAAUGUGUUUUCUCUUAAAAUUUUAGAGUCUCUGAUUUCUUUUUGUUUACUAGGAGUUUAGGACAUGGUUUAUUUAUUUAUUUCAUAGGAUCCACUUCAACUGUAUAUAUCCAUAUGCAGUAUAUGGUUUUUUAUAUUUAAGUGACAGUUUUGGUUGGCACAGAAAAAAAAAGGAAUUGGAGACUGUUUUAGCUGCCAAAUGCCAAAAUGGUUGUAGGCUAGCAUGCAGGCCUGGUGCAAAAGCAACACUAAAUUAUUUGUCUGACCGUGGAUUGUCUCUCUUCCCCACAAGUUAAUUUUCAUCUAUUUGUGUAUUAUAAUCGAGCUAUUGUAUUGUAUGAUGGUCAGAACUCUAUUGUUGGGUUAGAACAAUAAAUAAGCUUGAACUUCUGUGUACAUAUCUAAGGUACAUCAUCAUGAUAUGUAGAAUAGUAAACCAAUGUUGUAUAUGCUCGAUUUUUACAGUGAGUUGGGCAACUUUAAAUGAAAGGUGGACUAUUAAUAGGAGAUGGUACUAUUACUAUCUAGGUUGAAUUGAUUGUUCAGAUGACAUUCUCUUUAAUUUAAUUCAUGUGUUACAAGGUUUCCUCAUUUACUUUCCUUCCUUCUCUUUACAUGUUUUUUUUCUCUUUUUUGAUCUUUCUCUUGUUCAGUCAGACGAUUGGACAGACAGCCUCUUACCGUUGCCUCAUCGUCCUGCCUCUACAUGCCGCUGUCGCUGACACUCGCCUCACCGCACUGCCAAUAGUCUGCCAUUUGAUUCUCUUGGCAAGAGGAAGGCCCCGCCGGUUCGUCCUCUUUCUCCUGAACCUUCUCACAUCCUCCUAUCUCCUGUGUGAUUUUUGUUAAUUGGAAAAUUCGAUGCUAUGUUUCUUCGAUUGGGAUCAUGCUGCAACAGCAAAGGAUCUUGGGGAUUGGUUGUUGGAGCCAAUAAAAGGUUGUAUAACUUUGGAUUUUAUCACUAUUUAAAAGUUGUAUCCAGUAUAACGCUAUAUUGGAAUGGGUAUUUUACAUGUUUUAUACUUCAGUUGUGAUAAAAUAAUACCCCAGGUGAACAUGAACUUCUGAUUAUUAUUUCUUAAUUGUUCAACUGGACAUGUUUACUGAAUAUAUCCACUAACAAUUGGAUGUUUGUUUAGUUAUCAAGGAUAAGCUUGUCUGAUAUGUAGACAAAUAAACAAUUGGUCCAUAUUUGUGAUAAAAAGGAUCACUUAUCAAACCAUGGCAACAAACCAUAGCUGAUAGCUGAUUUCAGAUAGCUGAUUUGCAGAUAACUGACAACAAUUUUGUCUUUGUUUGUACAAAUGUCUUGUAGCAGAAAUUAAUUAGCACAAAUUAUACCAAGAUUAUCCCUCAAAAUAUAAUUCUGAGUUAUGACUUAAA
Molecule: long non-coding RNA, 7090 nt
Filed under: Oryza brachyantha (malo sina)
Lineage: Eukaryota; Viridiplantae; Streptophyta; Magnoliopsida; Poales; Poaceae
Description: long non-coding RNA (OBRA_LNC000302)
Source: RNAcentral